This 362-nucleotide transfer-messenger RNA is filed under the name Clostridiales bacterium. It matches the Rfam family "transfer-messenger RNA". Rfam says of the family: Bacterial tmRNA, also known as 10Sa RNA or SsrA, is named for its dual tRNA and mRNA-like properties. Its role is to liberate the mRNA from a stalled ribosome. To accomplish this part of the tmRNA is used as a reading frame that ends in a translation stop signal. Lineage: Bacteria; Bacillati; Bacillota; Clostridia; Eubacteriales. The record is from RNAcentral.
GGGGUUGUUUUGGUUUCGACGGGGAUUUUGAAAUUAAGGAAGCCAUCUGCGGGUCGGGACCGCAUCAGUAAACCGAACAAAAAUUUAAACGCAGACGAUAAUUUAGCGUACGCUGCCUAAUGGCAGCUGUCGACCUUAAGUUGCUCACAGCUUAAGUACUCGGCACAAUCUAUUGUGAGGCACCUUAUUCCCUAAGCUUUGCAGGAGUAAGAGAAACCAUGAAGCUACUAAAACCUUAAACCUGUCAUUGGGUGUUUGGUGGAGGGAACAGCGUAGAAGAUACGUAUAAAAUAAUGACUAUGAUGGAAGAAGCUUAAUGGAAGGGUUUUCGGACAGGGGUUCGACUCCCCUCAGCUCCAUGU